GAUGAACGCUGGCGGCGUGCCUAAUACAUGCAAGUCGAGCGAACGGACGAGAAGCUUGCUUCUCUGAUGUUAGCGGCGGACGGGUGAGUAACACGUGGAUAACCUACCUAUAAGACUGGGAUAACUUCGGGAAACCGGAGCUAAUACCGGAUAAUAUUUUGAACCGCAUGGUUCAAAAGUGAAAGACGGUCUUGCUGUCACUUAUAGAUGGAUCCGCGCUGCAUUAGCUAGUUGGUAAGGUAACGGCUUACCAAGGCAACGAUGCAUAGCCGACCUGAGAGGGUGAUUGGCCACACUGGAACUGAGACACGGUCCAGACUCCUACGGGAGGCAGCAGUAGGGAAUCUUCCGCAAUGGGCGAAAGCCUGACGGAGCAACGCCGCGUGAGUGAUGAAGGUCUUCGGAUCGUAAAACUCUGUUAUUAGGGAAGAACAUAUGUGUAAGUAACUGUGCACAUCUUGACGGUACCUAAUCAGAAAGCCACGGCUAACUACGUGCCAGCAGCCGCGGUAAUACGUAGGUGGCAAGCGUUAUCCGGAAUUAUUGGGCGUAAAGCGCGCGUAGGCGGUUUUUUAGUCUGAUGUGAAAGCCCACGGCUCAACCGUGGAGGGUCAUUGGAAACUGGAAAACUUGAGUGCAGAAGAGGAAAGUGGAAUUCCAUGUGUAGCGGUGAAAUGCGCAGAGAUAUGGAGGAACACCAGUGGCGAAGGCGACUUUCUGGUCUGUAACUGACGCUGAUGUGCGAAAGCGUGGGGAUCAAACAGGAUUAGAUACCCUGGUAGUCCACGCCGUAAACGAUGAGUGCUAAGUGUUAGGGGGUUUCCGCCCCUUAGUGCUGCAGCUAACGCAUUAAGCACUCCGCCUGGGGAGUACGACCGCAAGGUUGAAACUCAAAGGAAUUGACGGGGACCCGCACAAGCGGUGGAGCAUGUGGUUUAAUUCGAAGCAACGCGAAGAACCUUACCAAAUCUUGACAUCCUUUGACAACUCUAGAGAUAGAGCUUUCCCCUUCGGGGGACAAAGUGACAGGUGGUGCAUGGUUGUCGUCAGCUCGUGUCGUGAGAUGUUGGGUUAAGUCCCGCAACGAGCGCAACCCUUAAGCUUAGUUGCCAUCAUUAAGUUGGGCACUCUAAGUUGACUGCCGGUGACAAACCGGAGGAAGGUGGGGAUGACGUCAAAUCAUCAUGCCCCUUAUGAUUUGGGCUACACACGUGCUACAAUGGACAAUACAAAGGGCAGCGAAACCGUGAGGUCAAGCAAAUCCCAUAAAGUUGUUCUCAGUUCGGAUUGUAGUCUGCAACUCGACUACAUGAAGCUGGAAUCGCUAGUAAUCGUAGAUCAGCAUGCUACGGUGAAUACGUUCCCGGGUCU
Molecule: ribosomal RNA, 1371 nt
Filed under: uncultured bacterium
Lineage: Bacteria
Description: bacterial SSU rRNA
Rfam family: Bacterial small subunit ribosomal RNA
Source: RNAcentral